GACGAACGCUGGCGGCGUGCUUAACACAUGUAAGUCGAACGGAAAGGCCCUGCUUUUGUGGGGUGCUCGAGUGGCGAACGGGUGAGUAACACGUGAGUAACCUGCCCUUGACUUUGGGAUAACUUCAGGAAACUGGGGCUAAUACCGGAUAGGAGCUCCUGCUGCAUGGUGGGGGUUGGAAAGUUUCGGCGGUUGGGGAUGGACUCGCGGCUUAUCAGCUUGUUGGUGGGGUAGUGGCUUACCAAGGGUUUGACGGGUAGCCGGCCUGGGAGGGUGACCGGCCACAUUGCGACUGCGAUACGGCCCAGACUCCUACGGGAGGCAGCAGUGGGGUAUAUUGCACAAUGGGCGGAAGCCUGAUGCAGCAACUCCGCGUGCGAGAUGACGGCCUUCGGGUUGUAACCCGCUUUCGCCUGUGACGAAGCGUUAGUGACGGUAAUGGGUAAAGAAGCACCGGCUAACUACGUG
Molecule: ribosomal RNA, 468 nt
Filed under: uncultured bacterium
Lineage: Bacteria
Description: partial 16S ribosomal RNA
Rfam family: Bacterial small subunit ribosomal RNA
Source: RNAcentral